GAGACAUCCACAGUUGUACUAUGCUUUGAUGA
Molecule: non-coding RNA, 32 nt
Filed under: Rattus norvegicus (Norway rat)
Lineage: Eukaryota; Metazoa; Chordata; Mammalia; Rodentia; Muridae
Source: RNAcentral